This 229-nucleotide long non-coding RNA is filed under the name Homo sapiens (human). Its description in RNAcentral is "non-protein coding lnc-CCL2-10:1". The record is from RNAcentral. Lineage: Eukaryota; Metazoa; Chordata; Mammalia; Primates; Hominidae.
GAGCUAGAGCCCUAAGGGCACCAAAACCCAGCUGGUCUUUCUGACUCCAUGAGGCUCAGAGCAAAGCCACUUGCUUGCUUCACACCUUCAACAACCUUGUAUUAUAGUCAGAGAGUGAGACAGGAAGAGUGGGAAGGGCACAGAAGCAGGGCUGGAAAAGCAAGAAGGAAGGAGGAGGGAGGAGAGGGCAGGCAGUACUAUUGUGGGUGGCUUAGCGCAACACAAGAUC